CCGACUAAGUGGACUCAGAGUGGACUCAAUGAAUGAAGUUCAUCCGGCUGUGCCAUCAAUUUUUGAAACUAUAUCAGCCAGUGGCGGAUCCAGAGGUAGUUUGUUGGGUUCGUACAAACUACCCUUCCACUAAGUUGAUACUUUAUAUUUAAUACACCUGGCUAGCUAGCUUACUGUACUGUACUGUCACGACAAUAGGGUACAAAGUUCUCUCUGCAUAAUGUGAGGGUGGGGCUGGUACUCUCUGCAUAAUAUGAGGGUGGGGCUGGCUAUAUUGACUCAUCCAGCCACACGGUCGCAGUGAUAAUUGAGCCUGGCCAUGAAUCCUAACAAAAGGCUAGAUUGCAACCCUCCAUUGACUCCUGGUUUAAGAAGAGCAAAGUUUCAGAUGAUGCGUCAAGUCUACAGCCAGUCUCCUCUUCAAGAGAAUCACCAGCCACCAUCGUCACUCCUCCAGUCACAACCAUUUCUCCUCCAGUCACAACUAUCUCUCCACUGGAACCACCAGCCACCUCCAUCACCCCUCCGUGUUCAUCGAAAUGAUCGAAGCAAGCAACGAGAUCUUCCGCUGAGGAUCAGCCAAUGGACAUUGGUGCUCUCCUGAAAGAGAACAAAGUGCAAUCACUAUCCCAGAGCAUGAGAAUGGCUUUGCCUUGUGUUCUUUCAGAUAUUAUAUAAUUGUUUUUGUUGAAGGGGAAUGUGGUUAAUUAAUGGGCGUGACAUGUAAAAGGGGGCGUGGUUAGCCCAAAAAUUUCGGCGCUAUGCGCCGAGUGACAUUUCUUGUCUGCGCGAAGCGCGGACAAGAAGUAAGAACCCCCCUUCCCUAAAUCCGCCCCUGUCAGCCGCUAUUAGUCUCUUUCAAGCAACCUUGAGAGGAGGGAGAAGUGAGUAGUAAAAAUUACCUAGCUUGAUUUUUCUAGCUAGAAUCUCAGUGCUCAGUGGUAGAUCUACUGCAUGCAAUCGAUCAGGAGUGCAUCAUUCAAGCACUCAUGCAUGGUGCAAUCUGCCCAGUUCCAAUCCUGCUGAAUCCUCGUCAGGCCGGUGUACCAUGGACGAAAGCACAACACAAACGUGGAUGCUCUCUCUAAGAUUGAGGAAGAAGCAUGUGAAGAAUCUCCAAGCAGAUUCACUCAUUGUAGUCUAGCUACGCUGUAUACCUCAUUCGAUAUUGCGUUAAUUUGUUUGGAGUUAUCCAGUAUCAUAUCCAUGGUUGAAGUUUAGUCUAGGAGCCAGACUUUUUCUCAGAGGGGGAAGGGGGAAGAGAUAAAGAAGGUCUGGAGACUCUUGCAGCACUUCUGUGUGCUCUUGGAAUGUCAAUAGGGAGAGACUGUGAUAUUGGAGGUUAUAAAGAAGGAGUAGAUGUAGCAAUACUCUCAUUUCAUUGGCUGUAUCUAAAGUGUUUCAUGGGUUAAAAAUCACAUGACAUAGGAUAUGCAUUUCAUUGGCUCUGGCCACAUUCCGCUAAGAGUCUCCAGACCUAAUCCUAGCUCUAUUGAUUUUGCCCCGAGCUAUUAGGUCUGGCCCCCAGACUAUAAUUGAAGGCCUCCGGUCAAAAACGGUGAUAAAACGCAUUCCGUAUAUUUCGAGAAAACGGAGGUCAAAGUUCGCGACCAAAAUUGGUUGCGACCUUUGACCUUUAUUAAAAACUAUCAUAACUUUCUAGCUAGUUACUUUUGACUGUUCAUAUUGCAGCUGGAGCUUCUUUGAUCUAUGCAGAUUGAAGUUGUUGCCAAGUAAGUCGGAGUGGACACUUCCCCUUCCAGAUGAUGGCACCUGGAAGAUACUUUGAAAUAAUUAUCUGUACCAGAAUUCUCUGAUGAAGACACCUAUUGUGAAGUGGUUCACCAUGCAGAAUGUCUCUCUCUCUCUCUCUCUCUCUCGCAUGCAUGCAACCAUAGAUCUACGAUGCAACUGAGAUCUAAAAAGAGGGGAAAAAGCUCUGCUUCAAAAUUUGGAGGUUAUUAACUGUAUGUAUAAUGCAGUGGGAAGUCAUGCCAUAACAAGGAAGUAAACUGUACAUGCACAUAUACGUACGUAUGGCUGCGGGCUUACAACUUACCAAUCAGUGUUGCUACGACAAUGAUGACAAUGAUGAUUAUAGCAAUGAUGGAUAUCAGAAUCAUCCAUAACUGUUAAAAUGAAACAUUUAUUAUUCCAGCAUUUAAUGAUUAUUUUGUUAUUAUUAUAUACCUUGUAAUGUUCCCACUUCUUUUUCUCGUGAACCUUAGUCGCACCUUUUUUGAAUUCAUCACCUGUCUCCUUUAGUGCUUCUGUAGUUAGAUUGCAACAUUUUUAUGGAUUUAUUAUACAUAUUAUACAUGCAGUUUAACAACAUGAUUGUGAUCAUCAAUCAACUCACUAGCCUUGUCGUCAAGCUUUUCUAAGUUGGUUUGUCUUUCUUCUAGUUUGGUCAUAUUUUGAACCAUUUUCCCUUUGAUCUAGUAGUGUAUGGAACACAAUAAUUAUUAUUAUCGUAUAGCGGGUAAUUUUCGUGAGUAGUGUUUGCUUCAUUACGUGUGCACAAUUACAUUACAAUAAUCACAAUUCACAUCACAAUUUCAUUACGUGCUGCAAUGCAUGCGUUAUGGUAAACCACGCCUACGUUUUCGUGAGUGAAAUUUUUGUUGAGGUCAGCUAGCUUGCCCACAAAAAUACCCCGCAAAAAUUACCCACUAAAUGGUAUUAUUUGCCAAAUUGCUUUGGGGGAAAAUGGCAGAAUGCAACAGUGAUCCUUCGUAAGCGCUUGAGAAAUGUGAAUAUAAUUAUAUGUAUAACAACCCUCAUUAGCUCCUAGCUGAUAAUGCUACAGGUAUUCACUGACCUAAUAAGUUGUAAUUACAUUAUACACAUUUAGAACACGCAUGGUGGGACAUUAAUUAUAUAAUUAUACCUCCUCGGUAGUUUUGAUCAGGUGAGUCACCUCAGAGUCUUGUAAGGCCCUGUGUCAAAUGUGCACAUACACAGUUGCUGCUGAUAGCUAACAUAUACAACAUUCAACUCACAUUUU
This is a long non-coding RNA of Halichondria panicea, 3007 nucleotides long. RefSeq lists it as uncharacterized. NCBI's taxonomy places the organism in Eukaryota, Metazoa, Porifera, Demospongiae, Suberitida, Halichondriidae. The transcript has 4 exons. The record is from RefSeq and is a predicted model, not a curated record.